AUUGAACGCUGGCGGCAUGCCUUACACAUGCAAGUCGAACGGUAACAGGAAGAAGCUUGCUUCUUUGCUGCCGAGUGGCGGACGGGUGAGCAAUGUCUGGCAAACUGCCUGAUGGAGGUGGAUAACUACUGGACACGGUCCCUAAUCCCGCAUAACGUCGCAAGACCAAAGAGGGGGACCUUCGGGCCUCUUGCCAUCCGAUGUGCCCAGAUGGGAUUAGCUAGUAGGUGGGGUAACGGCUCACCUAGGCGACGAUCCCUAGCUGGUCUGAGAGGAUGACCAGCCACACUGGAACUGAGACACGGUCCAGACUCCUACGGGAGGCAGCAGUGGGGAAUAUUGCACAAUGGGCGCAAGCCUGAUGCAGCCAUGCCGCGUGUAUGAAGAAGGCCUUCGGGUUGUAAAGUACUUUCAGCGGGGACGAAGGGAGUAAAGUUAAUACCUGGGCUUAUUGACGUUACCCGAAGAAGAAGCACCGGCUAACUCCGUG
RNAcentral lists this ribosomal RNA (490 nucleotides) under uncultured bacterium. RNAcentral describes it as "partial 16S ribosomal RNA". It matches the Rfam family "Bacterial small subunit ribosomal RNA", at positions 30 to 507 of the family's 1533-position model. The record is from RNAcentral.